GAUGAACGCUAGCGGGAGGCCUAACACAUGCAAGCCGAGCGGUAUUGUUUCUCCGGAAAUGAGAGAGCGGCGUACGGGUGCGUAACACGUGUUCAACCUGCCUUUAUCUGGGGGAUAGCCUUUCGAAAGGAAGAUUAAUACUCCAUAAUAUAUUGAACGGCAUCGUUUAAUAUUGAAAGCUCCGGCGGAUAGAGAUGGGCACGCGCAAGAUUAGCUAGUUGGUGAGGUAACGGCUCACCAAGGCGAUGAUCUUUAGGGGGCCUGAGAGGGUGAUCCCCCACACUGGUACUGAGACACGGAGCAGACUCCUACGGGAGGCGGCAGUGAGGAAUAUUGGUCAAUGGGUGCAAGCCUGAGACAGCCAUCCCGCGUGAAGGACGACUGCCCUAUGGGUUGUAAACUUCUUUUGUAUAGGGAUAAACCUACCCUCGUGAGGGUAGCUGAAGGUACUAUACGAAUAAGCACCGGCUAACUCCGUGCCAGCCGCCGCGGUAA
RNAcentral lists this ribosomal RNA (495 nucleotides) under uncultured bacterium. RNAcentral describes it as "partial 16S ribosomal RNA". It matches the Rfam family "Bacterial small subunit ribosomal RNA", at positions 28 to 523 of the family's 1533-position model. The record is from RNAcentral.